GACGAACGCUGGCGGCGUGCCUAAUACAUGCAAGUAGAACGCUGAAGGAGGAGCUUGCUUCUCUGGAUGAGUUGCGAACGGGUGAGUAACGCGUAGGUAACCUGCCUGGUAGCGGGGGAUAACUAUUGGAAACGAUAGCUAAUACCGCAUAAUAGUAGAUGUUGCAUGACAUUUGCUUAAAAGGUGCAAUUGCAUCACUACCAGAUGGACCUGCGUUGUAUUAGCUAGUUGGUGGGGUAACGGCUCACCAAGGCGACGAUACAUAGCCGACCUGAGAGGGUGAGCGGCCACACUGGGACUGAGACACGGCCCAGACUCCUACGGGAGGCAGCAGUAGGGAAUCUUCGGCAAUAGACGGAAGUCUGACCGAGCAACGCCGCGUGAGUGAAGAAGGUUUUCGGAUCGUAAAGCUCUGUUGUAAGAGAAGAACGAGUGUGAGAGUGGAAAGUUCACACUGUGACGGUAUCUUACCAGAAAGGGACGGCUAACUACGUG
This 495-nucleotide ribosomal RNA is filed under the name uncultured bacterium. RNAcentral's name for it is "partial 16S ribosomal RNA". It matches the Rfam family "Bacterial small subunit ribosomal RNA", at positions 28 to 507 of the family's 1533-position model. The record is from RNAcentral.